RNAcentral lists this long non-coding RNA (3741 nucleotides) under Salvia miltiorrhiza (redroot sage). Its description in RNAcentral is "long non-coding RNA (SMIL_LNC010964)". The record is from RNAcentral. Lineage: Eukaryota; Viridiplantae; Streptophyta; Magnoliopsida; Lamiales; Lamiaceae.
AGAAUGCACAAUCUACAGAGUUCAUGAACAUUUACGGAACGUGAACCCCAUUGCUUACGAGCCCGAGGUGAUCGCUAUUGGCCCUUAUCACCGCAACAAGAAUCAUCUAAAAAUGAUGGAAGAUCACAAGCUACGUUACUUCCAGCACCUCAUCAGAAGGAAACCUUCCAACAAUGUGGAAAGCUACGCAGCAUGUGUGGGCAGAUUGGAAGCCGAAGCAAGAAAAUGUUACGCAGAUGAGCCUACAAGCCUGAGCCCAAGCGAGUUCAUACAAAUGCUUGUACUAGAUGGAUGCUUCAUCGUUGAGUUAUUACUGAAGCGCGACAUGGUAUCCCUGAGGGAGAAGAAUGAUCCCAUCUUCCAAAUGGACUGGAUUGUGGCUAGCCUGCAGCGGGAUUUAAUGCUCUUCGAGAAUCAACUCCCACUCUUCGUCUUGUGCGAGCUGUUCGACCUGAUUGAGGAUCCCGGCCAGCAUAGUAGGUUGCAGGACCUUCUCGUGCAAUUCUUCAGCAUUAUGUGUCCUGGGGAAGGCUACAGAGGAGAAGCGAGCAUAGCUCCUCGUGAGAUGAAGCAUUUGCUUCACUUCAUCCAUCGUAGUUGGCUUCCCCGCGGCACGGGCACAGGCGGGAGGAAGAAACAGGAUAAGGGGUUGCAGUUCAUCAACAGCGCAGCGAGGCUUAAAGAGGCUAAUGUCAGGUUCGAGAUAUCCGAGCCACGAGCUGCGUUGUUCGACGUGAGGUUCGAAAACGGGGUGAUGAUCAUGGGGCCUCUGAGGGUCGAGGACAAGACCGAGUCGUUCCUCCGGAAUCUCGUCGCGUACGAGCAGUACUUUGGGCAGGAUCAGGACAAUUUCGUGACGGAUUAUGUCAUGUUGCUGGACUGCCUUAUUGAUUCCUCCAAGGAUGUGGAGAUACUGUCGCGUGACGGAAUCGUGAAGAACUGGAUGGGCAAUGAGGAAGACGUGGCGAAGAUGGUGAACAAGCUGGCUGAAUCGGUGACUGUGCCCAGAAUCUUCAUGUAUGCGGAGAUGUUUGAGAAUGUGGAAAAGCAUUGCAGGAAAAGAAGGCAUAGGUGGAUGGCCAUGUUGAGGCGUAAUUAUUUAAGUAGUCCUUGGGUUAUUAUGUCUCUACUUGUUGGUGCAGUGCUGCUUCUGCUCACAUUCACGCAAACAGUUUUUACCAUAUUACAGGUGGUCUGAAUUAGAAGAGGACUCACCAUUUCUGCUUUAUCACAUGUAGCGAUGUAAACUAAUUUGAGUUUGAUCAUGUAUUAAAAUCUAGAACGAGGGAAGCCAUUUUACUAUGAGUAGUGCUAUUUGGACAAAAUUUGUCCAGACAUAAAAGGUCCAUCCAUAAUUUAAUGUCCCACUUUGUAGUCGGCGCGAAAACUAAGAAAACUGAAAAAGGUGUUGUGGGUGAAAUAUAAAGGUGGUUAACUAAAGUGAUAAAUGUGUUGUGAGUGGAUCCAAUAGUGAAAAAGUGUAGUAAAUAUAAAAUAUAAAAUAUAAAAUUGAUAAAGGUAUUUUUAGGUGAGUCGAUUAGUGGCAAAUGAUACUCCCUCCAUCCCAUUAAAGUUGGCCACAUUUUCUUUUUAGUCUGUCCUAUUAUUGUUGGCCACUUUCUUAAAAUUGAAACAUUGAAUUUAAUUAAGCCCAAUUAAUUAAUUUAAUUUAAUUUAAAUUUCUACUUAAACCUAAACCCUCUUUAAAUAAACACACACACACAAACACACAGCCGCACACACUCACACACAUUGUUCUCUCUCUCGGCAGGGGAGCCGCCGCCGUCGACAGUGGCGCCGCCCGACGGGGCCGGCGUCUGCUGCCUCCAUCUCCUCUCUCCUUAUGUCUCUCUCUCUCUCUUGCUCCCUCUUUCCGGUUCAUCCUCUCUAUUGCCGGAACAGGACGCCGACCGCUCCCUUUGGACUCUGGACUCUGGACUCUAGCCUCUCUCGACGGCGCUGACGAAUCCGCCGCAGCCUCUCGCCCCUCCGAUCGACUGUGUGGCGGCACAUCUUCUUCAGCCACGCGAUUUUGGGGGCUAGGGCUAGGGCUGCGAUCGAAGGGCACCCACGACGCUUCUCCCUCUCCUCUUUUUCUCUUCUUUUUGAACACCCAAAAUUCUUGGUUUGCAUGUUGACAACGAAUUUGGUUUGAAUUGAUUUUUUGGCGAAAAUUGGAUUGAGGAAAUUAGAACAUAAAAUGGUUUUGGAAUAGGAAAUUGGUGGAAAUUGCAUGUUGACCGCCGACGACGCCUUUGCCGGAGAAGAAGGUGAAUGGCAGCCAACAAUCAUCCCCUCGCGUCUUAAUUUACUCAUUAACACACUCAAUUAAAACAUAACAAUGAAUUUCUUAAUUUCCGUGCCGAAAAGAAUGUGGUCAACAAUAAUGGGACGGAGGGAGUAGUAAAUAUAGGAAAAGAAGGAGAGUAAAAAAGUACAAAAAAUAGAAUAUGACUCGAAUUUGUGGACAAAAAUUUAAGAGCAAGUAGGGCUUUAAAUUGUGGACGAAGGGAGUAUUAAAAAUUAAUUUAUUUAAAAUUUUUAGUUUAAGUUUAAAAAGAAUUUAGUUAGUUUUAUUUGACUCAUGAAUCGUUUGUUUCUUUUUUAAAAUUAGAGUUUCGUACCUUUCAGUUAAUAAAAAUUAAGUCUUAAAAUUUAAUUUAAAAAUCUUAUGGUACUAUUCAUGCACCAUCCUUAUUCAAUUCAAUUUUUUUUUUAAUUUUUUUUUCAAAAUAUAUGAUUUUUUAUUUAUACUAUUCAAAUUUAUUUAUUUAUUUUUAUUAUUGUAUAUAAGAAAAGAUGCAUAAUUUAUUUAUUUUUAUUAUUGUAAAUAGCAAGAUGAAUUAUUGGAUAAUAAAUUUCAAAAUUUUCAUCUUAUACAAAAGUGAUUUACAUAUUGGAUAACUAAAUGAAUUUUAAUUUACAUUACUACUUUCCCAAAAAUUUAUUAAAAUUAUGUGCAUGUAUCUUCAUUAAUAAAAUUGAAUUUUNCUUUUAGAGCAUCUCCAAUGCUCGAGUUUUCGCCUCGGAUUGAUCCAGUAUUUCGGCCGCACCGCGCGCUGGAGAACCGCGGCGACGCCGGCGUUGCUGCGCUCGACUAAAAUUAAAAAAGAAAAGAAAAAGGAAAUUGGGAAAGAGAGUUGCAGGGAAAUGGGGAAAGAGAAAGGGGAGGUCGGUGGGGAAGAAAGAAGAAAAAAGGGAAAGGAAGGGGGAGUCGGUGGGGGUAGGUAGGGGUUUUAAUUGUGGUUUUCACUGAAACGAACACACCUCAACUACUGGAUCUGUAUGGACAUGCCUCCACCAUUCAUUUCGUUUUCUACAUUAAUGCAGAAUGUUAUUAAUUUAAUGUUACAGAAAUUUCUCAACGUUAUAUCAUAUAUAUGGAUCCUAACAGCACAACGGAAGCCUGCGCUAGCUUGAAUGAAAAACUGACGAAACUCAACGCGGAGGCAGAAUCAGAAUGCACAAUCUACAGAGUUCAUAAAAAAUUACGGAACGUGAACCCCAAUGCUUACGAGCCCAAGGUGAUCGCUAUUGGUCCUUAUCACCGCAACAAGGAUCAUCUAAAAAUGAUGGAAGAUCACAAGCUACGUUACUUCCAGCACCUCAUCAGAAGGAAACCUUCCAACAAUGUGGAAAGCUACGCAGCAUGUGUGGGCAGAUUGGAAGCCGAAGCAAGAAAAUGUUACGCAGAUGAGCCUACAAGCAUGAGCCCAAGCGACUUCAUACAAAUGCUUGUAC